This 475-nucleotide unclassified non-coding RNA is filed under the name Hevea brasiliensis (rubber tree). Lineage: Eukaryota; Viridiplantae; Streptophyta; Magnoliopsida; Malpighiales; Euphorbiaceae. The record is from RNAcentral.
GCUCAAUAAUAUGUACAAGAUGUUCUUGGAGAGGGUAGAUCUUCCUCAUGUAGCAUCAGUUGUUGCAGUACGGGGGCGGAUGGAGAAAAGCUCUGUUUCACAAGAACUUCCCAUUGUUAAGGCAAUUUAUUCCUUUCUGCAGGAUAAUGUUUCAUCGUCAUUUUCUUUCCCUGUAUGGAAUAAAGGUCGGAUUACCUGCCAGCGGUCCCAUCUAAAGCGCAUUCUUUCAGGCACAGAUUCAAUUUCAGAUGAAAACAGAAAAGAUCAAUUUAUUGUUUUAAGUAACUCCCCUCUUUCUCUCCCUAGAACAAGAACAUCAACAAGCAAUGUCAAGAGUAGUCAACAUGAGAAUUCCGAUUCUGAAACGAGAACGGAGCUUCUGACAAGCACAGUUUAGGUUUGAUAUACAAAAUCAAUUCAUCCACUUUUCCAGGCAUGGAAAUUCUCUCCUUAUUUCAUUUAAACAAGGUUCACC